GAGAGAGGCAUGAUAAGCAUCAAAAACUGCUAAUUUUUGACACCUGGGUUAAACUCCCGGGCUCACUCG
Molecule: transfer RNA, 69 nt
Filed under: Heniochus acuminatus (pennant coralfish)
Lineage: Eukaryota; Metazoa; Chordata; Actinopteri; Chaetodontiformes; Chaetodontidae
Description: tRNA-Ser
Source: RNAcentral